Molecule: ribosomal RNA, 975 nt
Filed under: uncultured bacterium
Lineage: Bacteria
Description: bacterial SSU rRNA
Rfam family: Bacterial small subunit ribosomal RNA
Source: RNAcentral
GAAGGGGGGAUAACGUUCGGAAACGGACGCUAAUACCCCAUACGUCCUACGGGAGAAAGCAGGGGACCUUCGGGCCUUGCGCUAUCAGAUGAGCCUAGGUCGGAUUAGCUAGUUGGUGAGGUAAUGGCUCACCAAGGCGACGAUCCGUAACUGGUCUGAGAGGAUGAUCAGUCACACUGGAACUGAGACACGGUCCAGACUCCUACGGGAGGCAGCAGUGGGGAAUAUUGGACAAUGGGCGAAAGCCUGAUCCAGCCAUGCCGCGUGUGUGAAGAAGGUCUUCGGAUUGUAAAGCACUUUAAGUUGGGAGGAAGGGCAGUAAAUUAAUACUUUGCUGUUUUGACGUUACCGACAGAAUAAGCACCGGCUAACUCUGUGCCAGCAGCCGCGGUAAUACAGAGGGUGCAAGCGUUAAUCGGAAUUACUGGGCGUAAAGCGCGCGUAGGUGGUUUGUUAAGUUGGAUGUGAAAUCCCCGGGCUCAACCUGGGAACUGCAUUCAAAACUGACUGACUAGAGUAUGGUAGAGGGUGGUGGAAUUUCCUGUGUAGCGGCGAAAUGCGUAGAUAUAGGAAGGAACACCAGUGGCGAAGGCGACCACCUGGACUAAUACUGACACUGAGGUGCGAAAGCGUGGGGAGCAAACAGGAUUAGAUACCCUGGUAGUCCACGCCGUAAACGAUGUCAACUAGCCGUUGGAAGCCUUGAGCUUUUAGUGGCGCAGCUAACGCAUUAAGGUGACCGCCUGGGGAGUACGGCCGCAAGGUUAAAACUCAAAUGAAUUGACGGGGGCCCGCACAAGCGGUGGAGCGUGUGGUUUAAUUCGAAGCAACGCGAAGAACCUUACCAGGCCUUGACAUCCAAUGAACUUUCUAGAGAUAGAUUGGUGCCUUCGGGAACAUUGAGACAGGUGCUGCAUGGCUGUCGUCAGCUCCUGUCGUGANAUGUUGGGUUAAGUCCCGUAACGAGCGCAACCC